UUCUUUAAUUACGAAGUUAUUCUGAAACCAAAGAAGCCUCCAAUCUGAAACAAAAUUCAUAUUGCAAGGGCUCUGACUUCCCCGUCUUCUACUAACUUCAAUCUUUUCAGCUGCCAUGUCAGAGAUCUUCAACUUUUACCGGAGCUUGAGCGCGUCGCCGCCUACAUCCCGGCCUUUUACGAGAUAUUCGACUAGAUUUUGGUCCCAACUCUCUCUCUCUCUCUCUCUCACAUUUCUAGAGCUGAUAAGUGGUGGUGGUUGUCUUAGAUCUAGAAGGAUCUGUUGUAUCCGAGGAAUGAGUCUCGCCGGGAGGGCACUAGAUCUGAGCGGCCAUGGUUUUGUGUGGCAUGCGAGGCCUCUAUGUUUCAUCAGCGGCAUUAGGAAUUGCCCCAACAAAGAGCAGGAGCGCCUUUGCGUCAAUAAGGAGCUCAGCAAUGUUCGUACUUGCUUCAAAAACGAAAAGGUACGCUCCGCUUCCCCCACACCGCCUUAGGGUUUGGCCCUUCCUUUAUUGUAUUCUUGCUGCAUUUGGAUCUUAAUUCCUUCGUUGCUUUGAAAUUUGGGGGAUUUUUUGGGUGUUACGUUUUGGUUGUUGAGAUAGUUGGGAAUUUUAAUCUAAUCGAUCAAUCUACGCUGAUAUUUCUUUUAUUCCAAAAUCAUAGAACCGAGUUGGACUUUGGAAUGAUCUUUGAGUCUCUUGGAUAUGGCUAAAAUAAAUUUAUUUGAUUUGAUUCUAUGAUGUUUGUGGACAUAGUCGAAGAUUGCCAAAUGGAUGAACCUUAUAGAGUGCAUAAAAUCUAAUCUUUUAUCCUUGUGUAACUGAAUAUUCUACUAUUUUGAUGAGUAAAUGGCUACAUAUGAUGACAUUGAUAAUUCCAGUUUUGUGCCUUUAGUCUGUGUCAACAUGACAGAAGUAGCACAAGAGGGAAGGGGAAUUCCCAAGAGUCCUAGAAGGUCAAGCUGCUACGAUGCCUACUGCGAAAGGAUUCAGUUUUAAGAAGAUAUUACUACAUGAGCUUCAAGAGAAUUUAACAUAUGCAUUUCCAAAAGUUACAAUUUCGUAUGACAAGCCCUUCAUGGAGGAAAAGUAAUUGAGAUUGCAGCAGAUAUAUCUAUUCUUGAUGCAGUUAGGACUCUCUCAGAGCACAAAAUUAUCAACUCCAAUGAUCACUCUGCCGGAUGAAACCUGUUCAGAUUGAAGAUAAAGGCACCUUGGGAUCAUAGAUUACUCUGUCGUUCUUGUUUGGGUGUUGGAGAGUGCGGAGCAUGAUACUAGAAGUCCCUCUUCAGCUAGUUCUAUAGCAACUACAACUGGUGGAAUUGGUGGUGCAAGAGCUGUUGGAGCCAUUGGAGCUGUAGCAUUGGGGGUCAUAGGCCCUGUUGCGGUUGCAGGCAUAACUGCUGGUGCAGUUGCUUCUGUUGUGUCCGGUAGUGUUGUUGGAUAGAUAGGUGAAAUUUGCUACAUAUUAUUUGCAAAGCUUUCAUAAAGAAUGAUAAUAGCCAUCUAGGAUACAAAGAACAUUUCUUGUACGUGAUAGUAGUAUUGGAAAAUCUAUAAGAACAACUUUUGUAGAAAACAAUGGUAAUUAGGAAGGUAUAUAUUGAAUGGGAGACGUUGAUCAUUCUUGCAUUCAAAUUGUAACAGAUACAACUACGAAGAAUAAGGGGGGCAGGACUGCUGAUAAAUUGACUGCAGAAAGAGCACACUGAAAUAUAUGAUUUAUUUGCUAUCAA
Long non-coding RNA from Argentina anserina (silverweed cinquefoil), 1734 nucleotides. RefSeq lists it as uncharacterized. Lineage: Eukaryota; Viridiplantae; Streptophyta; Magnoliopsida; Rosales; Rosaceae. The record is from RefSeq and is a predicted model, not a curated record. The transcript is spliced from 3 exons.